Molecule: non-coding RNA, 30 nt
Filed under: Homo sapiens (human)
Lineage: Eukaryota; Metazoa; Chordata; Mammalia; Primates; Hominidae
Source: RNAcentral
UGCAUCUUGUCUCUGCAGUGCCAGAAUUCA